ACACGACUACAUUAGAUACCCGGGUAGUCCCAGCCGUAAACAAUGUGCGUUAGGUGUGUCGGUAACCACGCGUUACUGAUGCGCCGAAGAGAAAUCGUGUAACGCACCACCUGGGAAGUACGGUCGCAAGGCUGAAACUUAAAGGAAUUGGCGGGGAGCACCACAACAGGUGGAGCCUGCGGUUUAAUUGGAUUCAACGCCGGACAUCUCACCGGAUAAGACAGCUGAAUGAUUGUCAAUCUGAAGGUUUUACAUGACUAGCUG
This 264-nucleotide ribosomal RNA is filed under the name uncultured archaeon. RNAcentral describes it as "partial 16S ribosomal RNA". It matches the Rfam family "Archaeal small subunit ribosomal RNA", at positions 717 to 982 of the family's 1478-position model. The record is from RNAcentral.